AUUGAACGCUGGCGGCAGGCUUAACACAUGCAAGUCGAGCGGGGAAAAGUAGCUUGCUACUUGACCUAGCGGCGGACGGGUGAGUAAUGCUUAGGAAUCUGCCUAUUAGUGGGGGACAACAUCUCGAAAGGGAUGCUAAUACCGCAUACGUCCUACGGGAGAAAGCAGGGGACCUUCGGGCCUUGCGCUAAUAGAUGAGCCUAAGUCGGAUUAGCUAGUUGGUGGGGUAAAGGCCUACCAAGGCGACGAUCUGUAGCGGGUCUGAGAGGAUGAUCCGCCACACUGGGACUGAGACACGGCCCAGACUCCUACGGGAGGCAGCAGUGGGGAAUAUUGGACAAUGGGGGAACCCUGAUCCAGCCAUGCCGCGUGUGUGAAGAAGGCCUUUUGGUUGUAAAGCACUUUAAGCGAGGAGGAGGCUACCGAGAUUAAUACUCUUGGAUAGUGGACGUUACUCGCAGAAUAAGCACCGGCUAACUCUGUGCCAGCCGCCGCGGUAAAAC
This 503-nucleotide ribosomal RNA is filed under the name uncultured bacterium. RNAcentral's name for it is "bacterial SSU rRNA". It matches the Rfam family "Bacterial small subunit ribosomal RNA", at positions 30 to 526 of the family's 1533-position model. The record is from RNAcentral.